UCGAACGAACUCUGGUAUUGAUUGGUGCUUGCAUCAUGAUUUACAUUUGAGUGAGUGGCGAACUGGUGAGUAACACGUGGGAAACCUGCCCAGAAGCGGGGGAUAACACCUGGAAACAGAUGCUAAUACCGCAUAACAACUUGGACCGCAUGGUCCGAGUUUGAAAGAUGGCUUCGGCUAUCACUUUUGGAUGGUCCCGCGGCGUAUUAGCUAGAUGGUGGGGUAACGGCUCACCAUGGCAAUGAUACGUAGCCGACCUGAGAGGGUAAUCGGCCACAUUGGGACUGAGACACGGCCCAAACUCCUACGGGAGGCAGCAGUAGGGAAUCUUCCACAAUGGACGAAAGUCUGAUGGAGCAACGCCGCGUGAGUGAAGAAGGGUUUCGGCUCGUAAAACUCUGUUGUUAAAGAAGAACAUAUCUGAGAGUAACUGUUCAGGUAUUGACGGUAUUUAACCAGAAAGCCACGGCUAACUACGUGCCAGCAGCCGCGGUAAUACGUAGGUGGCAAGCGUUGUCCGGAUUUAUUGGGCGUAAAGCGAGCGCAGGCGGUUUUUUAAGUCUGAUGUGAAAGCCUUCGGCUCAACCGAAGAAGUGCAUCGGAAACUGGGAAACUUGAGUGCAGAAGAGGACAGUGGAACUCCAUGUGUAGCGGUGAAAUGCGUAGAUAUAUGGAAGAACACCAGUGGCGAAGGCGGCUGUCUGGUCUGUAACUGACGCUGAGGCUCGAAAGUAUGGGUAGCAAACAGGAUUAGAUACCCUGGUAGUCCAUACCGUAAACGAUGAAUGCUAAGUGUUGGAGGGUUUCCGCCCUUCAGUGCUGCAGCUAACGCAUUAAGCAUUCCGCCUGGGGAGUACGGCCGCAAGGCUGAAACUCAAAGGAAUUGACGGGGGCCCGCACAAGCGGUGGAGCAUGUGGUUUAAUUCGAAGCUACGCGAAGAACCUUACCAGGUCUUGACAUACUAUGCAAAUCUAAGAGAUUAGACGUUCCCUUCGGGGACAUGGAUACAGGUGGUGCAUGGUUGUCGUCAGCUCGUGUCGUGAGAUGUUGGGUUAAGUCCCGCAACGAGCGCAACCCUUAUUAUCAGUUGCCAGCAUUAAGUUGGGCACUCUGGUGAGACUGCCGGUGACAAACCGGAGGAAGGUGGGGAUGACGUCAAAUCAUCAUGCCCCUUAUGACCUGGGCUACACACGUGCUACAAUGGAUGGUACAACGAGUUGCGAACUCGCGAGAGUAAGCUAAUCUCUUAAAGCCAUUCUCAGUUCGGAUUGUAGGCUGCAACUCGCCUACAUGAAGUCGGAAUCGCUAGUAAUCGCGGAUCAGCAUGCCGCGGUGAAUACGUUCCCGGGCCUUGUACACACCGCCCGUCACACCAUGAGAGUUUGUAACACCCAAAGUCGGUGGGGUAA
This 1410-nucleotide ribosomal RNA is filed under the name Lactiplantibacillus pentosus. RNAcentral describes it as "bacterial SSU rRNA". It matches the Rfam family "Bacterial small subunit ribosomal RNA", at positions 62 to 1438 of the family's 1533-position model. The record is from RNAcentral. Lineage: Bacteria; Bacillati; Bacillota; Bacilli; Lactobacillales; Lactobacillaceae.